UGGAAGUGCCUUUCUUGUGCUGGUCGGAUUGUUGCGUAGAGAACACCAAUCUUUCCAGCUCAGAGGGCACUUUCCUCAUUCCGACACCCCAACAACCAGCCCAUUCAUCGGUGGAUCAAG
The sequence is a small RNA, 120 nucleotides long. It matches the Rfam family "Actinobacteria sRNA Ms_IGR-7". The record is from Rfam.